Molecule: ribosomal RNA, 508 nt
Filed under: uncultured Comamonas sp.
Lineage: Bacteria; Pseudomonadati; Pseudomonadota; Betaproteobacteria; Burkholderiales; Comamonadaceae
Description: bacterial SSU rRNA
Rfam family: Bacterial small subunit ribosomal RNA
Source: RNAcentral
UCGGAAUUACUGGGCGUAAAGCGUGCGCAGGCGGUUUUGUAAGACAGUGGUGAAAUCCCCCGGGCUCAACCUGGGAACUGCCAUUGUGACUGCAAGGCUGGAGUGCGGCAGAGGGGGAUGGAAUUCCGCGUGUAGCAGUGAAAUGCGUAGAUAUGCGGAGGAACACCGAUGGCGAAGGCAAUCCCCUGGGCCUGCACUGACGCUCAUGCACGAAAGCGUGGGGAGCAAACAGGAUUAGAUACCCUGGUAGUCCACGCCCUAAACGAUGUCAACUGGUUGUUGGGAAUUUAUUUUCUCAGUAACGAAGCUAACGCGUGAAGUUGACCGCCUGGGGAGUACGGCCGCAAGGUUAAAACUCAAAGGAAUUGACGGGGACCCGCACAAGCGGUGGAUGAUGUUCUUUAAUUCGAUGCAACGCGAAAAACCUUACCCACCUUUGACACGUAUGGAAUCCUUUAGAGAUGAAGGAGUGCUCGAAAGAGAGCCAUAACACAGGUGCUGCAUGGCU